UACGUAGGGUGCGAGCGUUGCCCGGAUUUAUUGGGCGUAAAGGGUGCGUAGGCGGGUCUUUAAGUCAGGGGUGAAAUCCUGGAGCUCAACUCCAGAACUGCCUUUGAUACUGAGGAUCUUGAGUUCGGGAGAGGUGAGUGGAACUGCGAGUGUAGAGGUGAAAUUCGUAGAUAUUCGCAAGAACACCAGUGGCGAAGGCGGCUCACUGGCCCGAUACUGACGCUGAGGCACGAAAGCGUGGGGGGCAAACAGG
This 253-nucleotide ribosomal RNA is filed under the name uncultured bacterium. RNAcentral's name for it is "partial 16S ribosomal RNA". It matches the Rfam family "Bacterial small subunit ribosomal RNA", at positions 524 to 776 of the family's 1533-position model. The record is from RNAcentral.